UGUGUGAGCCCUCAGGGCUUUCUUGUGUGUAUGGUCUUGGUUUUAAUGAGCAAGGUGCUUCUUUGACCCCUUCAUGUCGCAGCUACGAUGAGGUUAUUGCGUGGUUAGAAAAUCCAGGUCAUGCUCCGCUGAUCGACUCAGCUGUUUCAAUGAGGUGAGUGGACUGGUCCCUCCCCUCCAAGCAGUCGCAGCAGAUGCUGCCCCUCCCUUACCCUCGGCUCAUCUAAGCUUCUCCAAAGCAGCCUUGCUAUCAUCUACAUACUCUAAUACUCCCACAGAGACCAGAGCUGUUUGCCUAUUUCAGCUGAGCAGAGGAGAUCACAACUACCAGUCUAUCCAUCUAUCCUCAGAGUCCCAUGAGUCCAGCAAAGCUUCUACCAAUGUCCCUGUGGUAAUGACUAAAGUGGGGCCUCCAUCAGAACUGAUAACAAUUCUCAAUCCAUCAAAUGGUAAUGUGUUUAUGCAGUUGAACUGUGUAUACUGCCCUGCAAAAGCAAAACAGAGAAAAUACCCAUUUAAAGUUUAAAGUGAGGAAAUCUCAUUUUUGGAUUUAUGCUUAAAAUAUUUUUCUGCAAAUUUGACUAUAAAAAUUAUUCCUUUUGCUGAUACACUACUCAUUUGCUCCUGCAUACUCAUGUCAUACCGUGCUCUUGUGAACUAACUGUGAUGCAUUACUGCUUCAAAGUGUAUCAGCUCUCUGAUAACAGUUUGACUGCGGGUCACCUUUGGAUACUCUGCAUUACCUUCAACAGCAUGUUUAAGGUGGUCCAAGUCACUACCUGCCAGUUUUCAUGCUUUACCAACAUAAAACCAUUAAAAUAUUCAAAAUCUGAACAUCUGAGUCUUUGCUGUCACCUUACUCCUGAAUAACUCAGUGUCACUCCAACUUCUACAUCUGCACUGUUAUGUACACUGGGGUUCCCAACGGAGGUUUGUUUACACUGCAUCCCACCCCAGCUCUUCUCUAUGACAGGCACUGGCGUCAUCACAACAAACCACAUUGUUGCCCGGCAUCCUGAGGCCACUGGUAUGUGUUGGCGGUAUUGUUAAUUCCACGUGUUUCACUACCAUACAAUCGUUAACAAAGCAUUACUUAUACAUGACAUCACUGGCAGGAAUAUUAAUUUUAAGUUCUUUACUUAGAUAUGGCAAAAUUUUAGGACUUAGUGUGGCUUGGACACUUCUGUGGUGGUGAGCUUGCUGUUACAUAUCAUCCUGACAUUGUGGUUUAAGAGCUGUCUGUACCUUCUGUCACCUCUUUUGAAAGUGUUUUUUUUUUUUUACAUUGGCUGGUUUUAUGCAGGUGUAGGUGAUUCUGGUUUAGCACCUGCCAGAAGCUUACACUGUCUUCAGUUUUGGGCUGCCUGAGCUGCUUAUCUUCGUUACCUCCUUGGGGACGUCAAUGUCCAUGCUUAUAACAGCCCCUGUCCUGCAGAAUUUAUGUCACUCUUAGACUGCUACAGCAUGUAAAAGACCCCACUCAUGUCAAAGGUUAUGCACCAGACUUAGUGUUUUCCACUGGUACAACCCCCACUGGCCCACAGUGUAUUAAAAUCGCUGUCUCUGAUUACCACAUCAUUCUUUUCUCUGCUUCUGUCCUCCUUUCCCAGGCAGUGUCAGGUAUACAUCACAUACAGGAACAUCAAGUCUGUUAAUACAUCAGAUCUAGCCAGCAUCACUGGGAUUUACUUGACCUCUGACACUCCCAACCGCAAAGUGGCGUAUUACAGUAGUGUGCUGUCUCAAUGAUUUGACUCUAUGGUUUCAUCCUUUGUCUUGUGCCCGGACUACAUCACAGAAACUGGAAUGUUCUUAUCAAGAGCACAAAUGACCUCCUCAUUGCUGCGGACUCUUCCCACGUCAGCAUUUUUGUUCUCUUGUACCUUUCAGCAGCUUUUGUCACUCAUUCCAUCAUUCCUGAGGGUUUAUCUAACUAAGUUGGUCUCACUGGUGUAGCGUCCUUUCAGUCUUAGUCUUGCCUUAGUGGCAGGACACACUGUCACCUGCUGAGACUCGUGGUCUUCCUCUGCUCCAGUCAAACAAGAAGUCCCUCAAGGAUCUCUGCUGGGGCCUCUUCUUUUCAUCAUUUGCAUGAAAAUUUCCCAUCUGCAACACUUGUUCAUCCUCUCAUUCUCAUCACAUAUUCUAGCCAGUGCCCUCAGACUCGGCAGUGGACACCCUGUAUGCCCUCAUCACCUCCUACUUUGACCUCUAUAAAUGCAUUCCUAUUUGGUCUCACUAUCAAAGCCUUGGAUGUGCUGAACUAUGUUCAGAACUCAGCUGUCAGAAUUCAUAGCCACACUAAGUCCUGGCAACCCAUCACCCCCACCUUCUCUGCUUCCAAUAACGCAUAAUGAAGUCCCACAUCUAUAAAAUCUUUCAGCUUGCUAUCUGUUCUUCUCUUUAAACCUACACCCCAUCCCAGACUUGCAGACAAAGGCUUGCUUUUCAUCCCUCACACCAAAAUACAGUCUUUCAGGGACAAAAUCUUCAGUGCUGCUGCCUCUCUGCAACCGGCUCCUCCUCUCUCUCCUCUCUCCUUCUCUGGGAGGUCCAGAGA
Molecule: long non-coding RNA, 2560 nt
Organism: Haplochromis burtoni (Burton's mouthbrooder)
Lineage: Eukaryota; Metazoa; Chordata; Actinopteri; Cichliformes; Cichlidae
Exons: 3
Source: RefSeq, a predicted model, not a curated record